GACGAACGCUGGCGGCGUGCUUAACACAUGCCAGUCGAACGGAAAGGCCCUGCUUUUGUGGGGUGCUCGAGUGGCGAACGGGUGAGUAACACGUGAGUAACCUGCCCUUGACUUUGGGAUAACUUCAGGAAACUGGGGCUAAUACCGGAUAGGAGCUCCUGCUGCAUGGUGGGGGUUGGAAAUUUUCGGCGGUUGGGGAUGGACUCGCGGCUUAUCAGCUUGUUGGUGGGGUAGUGGCUUACCAAGGCUUUGACGGGUAGCCGGCCUGAGAGGGUGACCGGCCACAUUGGGACUGAGAUACGGCCCAGACUCCUACGGGAGGCAGCAGUGGGGAAUAUUGCACAAUGGGCGGAAGCCUGAUGCAGCAACGCCGCGUGCGGGAUGACGGCCUUCGGGUUGUAAACCGCUUUCGCCUGUGACGAAGCGUGAGUGACGGUAAUGGGUAAAGAAGCACCGGCUAACUACGUG
RNAcentral lists this ribosomal RNA (468 nucleotides) under uncultured bacterium. Its description in RNAcentral is "partial 16S ribosomal RNA". It matches the Rfam family "Bacterial small subunit ribosomal RNA", at positions 28 to 507 of the family's 1533-position model. The record is from RNAcentral.